This 82-nucleotide ribosomal RNA is filed under the name Mesocricetus auratus (golden hamster). Lineage: Eukaryota; Metazoa; Chordata; Mammalia; Rodentia; Cricetidae. The record is from RNAcentral.
GUCUACAGCCAUAUCACCCUGAAUGCACUCAAUCUCAUCUGAUCUCGGAAGCCAUACAUGCUCCCACUUGCCAUUGUAGGUA